UGAUAUUCUAAGAUAUUUGAACAACUGAUGCCUCCUUCCAGAUAUCAGGAAACACUAUUAUUCUUUAAUGAUAAAUUAAAAACUUCAGAUAAGGGAACUGCUAAUUGUCUUGCAUUCAUUUUCCAAAAAAUAUUGCCAAUACCAUCUGGGCCUGUUGCUUUAGUGAUAUCAAAAGAGGAGAGAAUAUCAUGGAUUUCUUGGGGACUAAGUGUUAAGUCACAUAAUGGGUUAUCUACCUCUGAACGAAUUACAGGAUAUCCCUAUUAGGAGCAGCUACUCUUGCCUGAUCUGCAAAGAAAUCAUUCAUAAUGUUUGCUGUUUCACUACUAUCAUCAUAUAGUUUAUCGUUAUGGAUUAUCGAAGGAAAAGUAUUAAUAUUGGUGGUGUGUUUACUUUGUAUAUAAUUCUUAACUAAACGCCACCACGUUUUUGUACCGUGUUCAUUGUCUCUUUCUUCAUCAAAUUAUUCAUGUACAUCUUCUUUGCAUUUCUUACCGCGGAUAUCACUUUAUUUCUACUCAAUCUAAAAAGCGCGGGUCAGAUGAUGAGUUACGCCUUUUUGUGAUUUUAUGAUGGCGAUUGCGUUUACGAACCAAUUUACGUACCUCUCUAUUCAUCCAGGGGGCGUCCUGGGGUGUUAUCGUAAUGACUUUAUUUGGAAUAUAACUAUCGCAUAAUUCAAGAAUUGUACCAGUCAAGUCGCUUGGGAUACGAUUAAUAUUUUCAGAGGCACAGAUAGCAUGCCAAUCAAGAGUUUAUAAGGCAUUUGUAAUACCGUCAAAAUCAACUAGAGUAUAAUUAUAUAUUUUUAUCUUGCAAUUGAUCGAUUUUGCAAUCGACUCAUUGAUGGUGACAUAUACAGGGCAAUGAUCGCUACAUACAUGAUCUAAAACAC
Molecule: long non-coding RNA, 895 nt
Organism: Haliotis rubra (blacklip abalone)
Lineage: Eukaryota; Metazoa; Mollusca; Gastropoda; Lepetellida; Haliotidae
Exons: 3
Source: RefSeq, a predicted model, not a curated record